Bos taurus (domestic cattle) is the source of this 1348-nucleotide long non-coding RNA. The record is from Ensembl. NCBI's taxonomy places the organism in Eukaryota, Metazoa, Chordata, Mammalia, Artiodactyla, Bovidae.
UUAAUCAGUCCCCUGAUCAUUCAUUCCCUCAGGUGUGCACGGCUGAGAAACCCAAGGCCACAGGAUUCUAGACCUUCAUGAGAUUAGAAAUUCUUGAGACCUCAAACCUGGCUAUGAGAAGGGGCCUGUCCAGUUUCCAAGGCAGCAAUAUGUUCAGGGUUCCCUGUUGCUUUUUUCUUUCUGGUCCUCCCUCCUCUGGCCCUUGAGAACAUUCCAUACGUCACUUUGCCUGUGACUUGGUUUACGACCACCUUAGGUAGAGGUAUUUGAACAAAUGAAUCCUUUCUCCAGUCCUGGCUUGAAAAACAGCAGUCAGUUCUUUUAGCCACUUGAUAUGUUGAAAUGCUGUAGAUACUUUGCACAUACAAACUAACUAUAGAUUGUUAUAAAAUGCCUCUUUUCUUCUAUUUGUCCAAGUAAGUUGUGUAUCCCUCAGCCAGUACAACAGAACAUUUUUAGAGGAAAUAAGGAUAAAUUUAAGAACCAAGAUAUGCUGAGAGCGAUAUGCAUUCGCAGAUCGUGGUCUGAUUUUAUAAAACUUCACAGUUCAGUUUAGUCACUCAGUCAUGUCCGACUCUUUGCAACCCCAUGAAUCGCAGCAUGCCAGGCCUCCGUGUCCAUCACCAUCUCCCAGAGUUCACUCAAACUCACAUCCAUCGAGUCGGUGAUGCCAUCCAGCCAUCUCAUCCUCUGUCAUCUGCUCUUCCUCCUGCCCCCAAUCCCUCCCAGCAUCAGAGUCUUCCAAUGAGUCGACUCUUUGCAUGGGGUGGCCAAAGUACUGGAGUUUCAGCUUCAGCAUCAGUCCUUCCAAUGAACACCCAGGACUGGUCUCCUUGAGAAUGGACUGGUUGGAUCUCCUUGCAGUCCAAGGGACUCUCAAGAAUCUUCUCCAACACCACAGUUCAAAAGCAUCAAUUCUUCGGUGCUCAGCUUUCUUUACAGUCUGACUCUCACAUCCAUACAUGACCACUGGAAAAACCAUAGUCUUGACUAGAUGGACCUUUGUUGGCAAAGUAAUGUCUCUGCUUUUCAAUAUGCUAUCUAGGUUGGUCAUAACUUUCCUUCCAAGGAGUAAACGUCUUUUAAUUUCAUGGCUGCAGUCACCAUCUGCAGUCAUUUUGGAGCCCCAAAAAAUAAAGUCUGACACUCUUUCCACUGUUGCCCCAUCUAUAUCCCAUGAAAUGAUGGGACCAGAUGCCAUGAUCUUAGUUUUCUGAAUGUUAAGCUUUAAGCCAACUUUUUCACUCUCCUCUUUCACUUUCAUCAAGAGGCUUUUUAGUUCCUCUUCACUUUCUGCCAUAAGGGUGGUGUCAUCUGCAUAUCUGAGGUUAUUGAUAUUUCUCCCGGC